GCCCUACGGGAGGCAGCAGUCGGGAAUAUUGCGCAAUGGAGGAAACUCUGACGCAGUGACGCCGCGUAUAGGAAGAAGGUUUUCGGAUUGUAAACUAUUGUCGUGAGGGAAGAAAUUGACAGUACCUCAGGAGGAAGCUCCGGCUAACUAUGUGCCAGCAGCCGCGGUAAUACGUAGGGGGCAAGCGUUAUCCGGAUUUACUGGGUGUAAAGGGAGCGUAGACGGCAAUACAAGUCGGAAGUGAAAUACCCGGGCUCAACCUGGGAACUGCUUUGGAAACUGUAUGGCUGGAGUGCUGGAGAGGU
Molecule: ribosomal RNA, 305 nt
Filed under: uncultured bacterium
Lineage: Bacteria
Description: bacterial SSU rRNA
Rfam family: Bacterial small subunit ribosomal RNA
Source: RNAcentral